RNAcentral lists this transfer RNA (65 nucleotides) under Marmota monax (woodchuck). Its description in RNAcentral is "tRNA.Ala". Lineage: Eukaryota; Metazoa; Chordata; Mammalia; Rodentia; Sciuridae. The record is from RNAcentral.
GUUGUAGCUCAGUGGUAGAGUGCUUGCCUAGCACACAUGAGGCACUGGGUUCAAACUUCAGCACA